AAACUUAACUCAUCUUUAACUUCAGAAUUAAGAAUGUAUUUUCAUUUUUGGGGCACAAAAUCAUCCCUCCAUUUCUGCCAUUGCACAAACAUAAAGAGUUUAAUAUUUUUUUUCUCUUAUUGUCUUAUGAUUUUUCCACAAUUUUUUAUCUGUUUGUUUCUUCAUGGUGUCUUAUGCUUUUUCCACACUUUUUCCACACUUUUUGAUCAAUUAAUUUAAUUGAUUAAUUGAAUACCAGUAGGGUGCGAUCAAGAUGGUGGAAUAUGGUGGUCGACGAGGGGAAAUACGGUGGAGCGAUCAGACGCUUCUACCUCUGCGUCCCAUCAAGCAAUUCUCCGGCACCGUCUCUUGCUGGUAUUCUGAUUUCAAGUUUUCGGCCCUCAAUGAACCCUUGUUUCGUUUCGGUCGGCGACACUCUAGGUCCUUGAGGGUAUGGUUCUCCAUAGGAGUCGUAUUUAGUUUGGCUGCUUUACUUGGAAUCACACUAGUCAGUGGCUGAUCUUCAACGUUGUCUAUUUUUUUUCCCUGAACUAAGAGAAUUGUUUACGAUGGCUUUUACCCUUAAUCUUACAUUGUUCUUUGUUUUCAUUUAUUUUUUAUUUUCAGAUUAUUCUAUGUGAAUUGGUCCGAACAACACUUGUAUGUGCCGGAAAAACCUGUACGGGUAACUCCUUGUUUGGGCUUGCCGCUGUGGUUA
Molecule: non-coding RNA, 697 nt
Organism: Erythranthe guttata (spotted monkey flower)
Lineage: Eukaryota; Viridiplantae; Streptophyta; Magnoliopsida; Lamiales; Phrymaceae
Source: RefSeq, a predicted model, not a curated record